This 447-nucleotide ribosomal RNA is filed under the name uncultured bacterium. RNAcentral describes it as "partial 16S ribosomal RNA". It matches the Rfam family "Bacterial small subunit ribosomal RNA", at positions 28 to 523 of the family's 1533-position model. The record is from RNAcentral.
GAUAAACGCUGGCGGCAUGCCUAAGACAUGCAAGUCGAGCGCCCAGCAAUGGGAGCGGCAGACGGGUGAGUAACGCGUGGGGAUCUACCCAUUGGUACGGAAUAACCCAGGGAAACUUGGAUUAAUACCGUAUGAGCCCUUCGGGGGAAAGAUUUAUCGCCAAUGGAUGAACCCGCGUCUGAUUAGCUAGUUGGUGAGGUAAAGGCUCACCAAGGCGACGAUCAGUAGCUGGUCUGAGAGGAUGAUCAGCCACACUGGGACUGAGACACGGCCCAGACUCCUACGGGAGGCAGCAGUGGGGAAUAUUGGACAAUGGGCGCAAGCCUGAUCCAGCCAUGCCGCGUGAGUGAUGAAGGCCUUAGGGUUGUAAGGCUCUUUCGCCGGUGAAGAUAAUGACGGUAACCGGAGAAGAAGCCCCGGCUAACUUCGUGCCAGCCGCCGCGGUAA